AGUCCCGUAACGAGCGCAACCCUUGUCCUUAGUUGCCAGCACGUAAUGGUGGGAACUCUAAGGAGACUGCCGGUGACAAACCGGAGGAAGGUGGGGACGACGUCAAGUCAUCAUGGCCCUUACGGCCUGGGCUACACACGUGCUACAAUGGCUAGGACAGACGGCUGCAAACCAGCGAUGGGGAGCUAAUCCGACAAACCUAGUCGUAGUCCGGAUUGGAGUCUGCAACUCGACUCCAUGAAGUCGGAAUUGCUAGUAAUCGCGAAUCAGAAUGUCGCGGUGAAUACGUUCCCGGGCCUU
This 300-nucleotide ribosomal RNA is filed under the name uncultured bacterium. RNAcentral's name for it is "bacterial SSU rRNA". It matches the Rfam family "Bacterial small subunit ribosomal RNA", at positions 1083 to 1382 of the family's 1533-position model. The record is from RNAcentral.